This 122-nucleotide small nuclear RNA is filed under the name Bombyx mori (domestic silkworm). Its description in RNAcentral is "partial U1 small nuclear RNA". It matches the Rfam family "U1 spliceosomal RNA", at positions 21 to 143 of the family's 166-position model. Rfam says of the family: U1 is a small nuclear RNA (snRNA) component of the spliceosome (involved in pre-mRNA splicing). Its 5' end forms complementary base pairs with the 5' splice junction, thus defining the 5' donor site of an intron. Lineage: Eukaryota; Metazoa; Arthropoda; Insecta; Lepidoptera; Bombycidae. The record is from RNAcentral.
AUACCGUGAUCAAUUAGGCGGUUCCCCCAGGGCGAGGCCGCUUCAUUGCACUGCGAAGCGGUUGACCCUUGCGAUUAUUCCUAAUGCGAAUAACUCGGACGCGUAAUUUUUGGUAGUGGGGA